UUGGUGUACUGUAUAGUUCUGGAGAUUGGAUUUCACUGUAAACCCACCAAAUGACUCCUCCCACAAUAUUAUGAUGUUCCCCAAGUUUUGGACUCAAUCCGAUAUCGAUCGGUCCACGAAAUUUGACAUUUCAGGUUCGUACGAAGUUCGUUCUGAAAUGGGGUGGUUUGUAUAUUGUAUAGUUCUAGAGAUUGGAUUUCACUCAAAACCCA
Molecule: long non-coding RNA, 212 nt
Filed under: Prunus persica (peach)
Lineage: Eukaryota; Viridiplantae; Streptophyta; Magnoliopsida; Rosales; Rosaceae
Description: long non-coding RNA (PPER_LNC008699)
Source: RNAcentral